GGGCCCGUAGCUCAGCGGUAGAGCAGCGGACUCAUAAUCCGUAGGUCCCAGGUUCGAAUCCUGGCGGGCCCA
RNAcentral lists this transfer RNA (72 nucleotides) under Actinomycetota bacterium. RNAcentral describes it as "tRNA-Ile". It matches the Rfam family "tRNA". Rfam says of the family: Transfer RNA (tRNA) molecules are approximately 80 nucleotides in length. Their secondary structure includes four short double-helical elements and three loops (D, anti-codon, and T loops). Lineage: Bacteria; Bacillati; Actinomycetota. The record is from RNAcentral.